Molecule: long non-coding RNA, 3260 nt
Organism: Phyllopteryx taeniolatus (common seadragon)
Lineage: Eukaryota; Metazoa; Chordata; Actinopteri; Syngnathiformes; Syngnathidae
Exons: 2
Source: RefSeq, a predicted model, not a curated record
GUGCCACUCGGCCUCCCGUAAACUCGCAGCGGCGCGGCUGACGGUCCACCUCAGGCAUCGCCGCCACAGUGGGCCGGCCGCCAUGUUUGCCAUGGCAAAGGGGGGCGGGGCUGCGUGCGACUCGGAAGCGGAAGUUGGCUUGUCGUCGUCAGAUCUCAAACAUCUGCGGUGGAGAACGAGUUUCCAAUUGGACUUGCGAGCUUCCUGUUCUCUCACCAAGCCCCCAUGCCCAUCCCCAUCCCCAUCCCCAUUUGACGGACCACAGAUGCCACAGCUGCUUUCAAUCUGGACAGGCCACAGAAACAAGGCCUGAUUUUACCAUCUUUCUGACUCGCAGGCGAUCAUGUGAUCAGUUGAAGAGGAAGAACUGAAUUAUUGUCCAGGUGUCCACUCUCCAGAAAUGGAAGCCACAUAUGUAAGUCUCCAUCCAGUCUUAACUGUAAAGUUUUGAGCAAGUCCCAAGUUAGUGUGGCAAAGCUGACUCUAUUAUUGUCUUUUCAAGUAAACGCAUUAGCGACAUUCAGGUUACUUCAUAUUUGACCAGCUAUCGGUGAGCUAAACUGUGACGUUAAAGUGGGACUUUGCAAUUUAAAGAAAAAAAAUAAACAACACUUUUUGAUCAUUUUCUGAAUUAAUAACAUUUCUGCUCAACGGGUUUAUUUAUCACCUCUAUUUGACAAAUGGCAAACUAUCUUGAAAAAAAGCAGAUUUUCAAUGCAGUUAAAGUCAAGUGAAGUCUUUCCUCAGUUUUAGCCAAGCUAAUCCAAAGCCCAGAAAUUGGUAACUUAGAUCUACUGGGAGUCAAGUCAUGUGACUGGAGUCCCCCUCCUCAGCCCCUCUGCACAAUUUUUGACUGCCUUCUAAUUGCGUCCACAUGUCGGGAUGAGUCACGUCUGCAAUUAUGACUCGGAAAAUAAGAGUCGGGAGGAACCGCUGCAUCACCGGUUCGUUGUCAAAAAGAUACAGGUUCUUUGGCCUUGAAAACAUACACACGUGAGAUGUAAAAAACAAUGCGCACAAAGUCAACCUGAAAGUAGAGGAAGCUUAUUUCCAUAUUCCCUUAAUGCUUCGUUCAACAGCACAAAGUAUAAAUAUGAACACUUACAAAAAGGAGGAACUAGAAAGGCUCUCGGUAGAGCGCAGACCUCCGUCAAGGUCAAACAAGACUGAAUUGUUCAUUGAUACACACCUCUUUUAUAUGCAUGAAUUUUUAUAAAAUCCAUGCAAUAUUAACUGCGAAAAUUAAGACAAAUGACGGGGGGAAAAAACAUUGAAUACUUUCUUGACACAGCCCUUAAGUUUUGUUUACUACGUUAACAAACAAAAACAAAACAAUGAAAUGACAAAACCUGUUUUUAAAAUGUUUACUACAUUCCAUGAAUAUAAAUUGUCUUUAUGGCAUUAUUUAAAGCACCUUUUACUUUAUACCACACAAAUACAUUCUGUUUAAUAUGUGCUGGAAUGAAAGUAUACUCAUAUGCUGUCAAGUGGGCGGCCAAGCCACAUGAAGCGAUGGAACGAAAGGUUGUGAUUGGCUUAUGUAGCUGGGUUCAUGUGAUUGAGCUUAGCCCCAGUUUCAAUUCCUGGUUCAACCACCAGAGGUCGCCAAACCAAAUUUAGAUCAUGAGUAUGAGUCGCAGUUCAAGCAUAAGUCUUCUUAAAAUCUUAAUACUAUUAAACCCCGUAUCAUAGUAAACAAACACAUACUGACGUCAACAACUUAUAACCAUUUGUUUGAUUUUAUAUCCUUGAGAUAAUUUUGAUGUUCUCUUUGAUGUUAUAACUGGGAUGUUCUUUUGAGAAUCAUUGAUAAAAAGUACAUCAAGCCUAGUAAGGCUGUUAUACAUUAUUCUUACUUUUGUAUUACUAUGCUUUGGAACAGCUUUUAUGCAAAAACUGUAACCUGUGUAAGAUUGUCUCUCUCAGGCAACGCAGCACAAGAUGUACUACAAAGGACAGAACGAACCUGUUGAAUGCAUGAGAGAAUUGUAUUCACAUGAAUGUAUAUACGUUUAUUUGACAUUUAACAUAUACACAUGUAUUGCAGAUUGCUUAGAGAUUAACAUGGUGUGAUGAAAUGUAUUGGUUGAGUUCAAGACAGGCGGCACGGUGGCCGACUGGUUAGAGCGUCAGCCUCACAGUUCUGAGGUGCGGGGUUCAAUCCCCGUCCCCGCCUGUGUGGAGUUUGCAUGUUCUCCCCGUGCCUGCGUGGGUUUUCUCCGGGCACUCCGGUUUCCUCCCACAUCCCAAAAACAUGCAUUAAUUGGAGACUCUAAAUUGCCCGUAGGCAUGACUGUGAGUGCGAAUGGUUGUUUGUUUCGAUGUGCCCUGCGAUUGGCUGGCAACCAGUUCAGGGUGUACCCCGCCUCCUGCCCGAUGACAGCUGGGAUAGGCUCCAGCACGCCCGCGACCCUAGUGAGGAGAAGCGGCUCAGAAAAUGGAUGGAUGGAUGGAGUUCAAGACAUGAAAUGUGCUUGAAAUUGAAUGUAUUUACUGAGAACCCGCAAGACAUGAAAUGUGCUUGUAGUUGAAUGUAUUUACUAAGAACCUAUUUGGGUGAGCAAAUAAGAGGUCAAGUCAGGAUAACGCUGAAGUGAAAGUGAAAGAUACUACCACUCUGGUCACGUCAGGACACUCUGAAGUGGAAACAGGUGCUUCCCACUCAGGUCAUGUCAGGACACUCUGAAGUGGUGAUAAAAAGUAAUAGCGAGGAGCGCGUGUCAGAAUAUGUAAACAAAGGAUUAUUUUAGAAAAGGGAGUUUCUGAAAACCAAGGUUAUAAAAGCCUCACACGCUGAUAAACGGGGCUCCUUAUUCUCUAGAGGAUAGGGAGACACAGGCUCUUUUCUCUCGCAAUGACAAGGGACAUGCUGGCAGGAGGAAUUCAUCAGGCUACUUGGAAUAGCACUUCAUUUUUGAAUCUUCCUCUUUAAUUGGGUAAGACUAAAAGAAUAUUAUAAUAAGGUAACUAAUAGAACCGCCAUUGACGUUGCGUGGAUAGGGAAGAGAGUUGGUCAGCUGUCCAGGGAUUCUUAUAUUCCAAAUUAUCUUAUUAUUAAUUGGCAUUAUGGCUCCAUAGGACUUGAUCACUCCUUAAAGCUCACUCAAAAGGUAAUACUUGUUUUAUGAUUCAUUACUUUUAAACUACUUCUACUUCUUUUCAUUUUUGUUAUUUUAUUGUUUACUCUAUAUUACAAACCCCUUACUGUCAUAUUAUUAUUUUAACCUUAAGUAAUCAGUGAAAUAAAAACCUUGCCUUAA